CCCACACCAGCGCAGUUCUUGUGUUCUUCGCUUCUCGUUCAGCUUACUCAGCUCGAUCGAUCGAUCUCACCGUGCGUUUCGCGCAUCUCCGUGUCGUGGUUGGUUAGUGUGUUUGAGAUUAAGUUAGCAAUGGCGGCCGCUACCAUGGCGCUGAGCAGCUGCUUCGCCGUCGCCGCCGGGGCGCCGUCGCAUGUCGUCGUCGGUGCCGGCCGUGCUGCGGUGUGCUUCCCUCGCCGACGUGCCGUGGCCGUCGUCGUCAGGGCCCAGUCCGAGGUGAGGAUACAUGCAUGGUUGAUUUGGUUUCACUAUCUGUGUUAUGGUGAUUGGUUGCUCGUGUGCUAACUUGGGACGUCGUUCGAUCUGCAGCCGGAUGUGGAGCCGACGGAGCAGCAGCAGGAGGCGGCCGCGUCGUCUCCGGCGACCCCGAGCCCGGCGGCCAAGCUGCCCAAGGCGGCGAAGAAGCCGAGCACGAAGCUGUCGGACGUGCUGGCGUUCAGCGGGCCGGCGCCGGAGCGGAUCAAUGGCNNN
RNAcentral lists this long non-coding RNA (528 nucleotides) under Oryza brachyantha (malo sina). RNAcentral describes it as "long non-coding RNA (OBRA_LNC001934)". Lineage: Eukaryota; Viridiplantae; Streptophyta; Magnoliopsida; Poales; Poaceae. The record is from RNAcentral.